AACGACUACAUUAGAUACCCCUGUAGUCCUAGCCGUAAACGAUACUCGCUAGGUGUCGGCCACGGUGCGACCGUUGUCGGUGCCGUAGGGAAGCCGUGAAGCGAGCCACCCGGGAAGUACGGCCGCAAGGCUGAAACUUAAAGGAAUUGGCGGGGGAGCACCACAACGGGUGGAGCUUGCGGUUUAAUUGGAUUCAACGCCGGAAAUCUUACCGGGACCGACAGCAACAUGAAGGCCAGGCUGAAGACUUUGCCGGAUUAGCUG
This 264-nucleotide ribosomal RNA is filed under the name uncultured archaeon. Its description in RNAcentral is "partial 16S ribosomal RNA". It matches the Rfam family "Archaeal small subunit ribosomal RNA", at positions 718 to 982 of the family's 1478-position model. The record is from RNAcentral.